This 497-nucleotide ribosomal RNA is filed under the name uncultured bacterium. RNAcentral's name for it is "partial 16S ribosomal RNA". It matches the Rfam family "Bacterial small subunit ribosomal RNA", at positions 28 to 507 of the family's 1533-position model. The record is from RNAcentral.
GAUGAACGCUGGCGGCGUGCCUAAUACAUGCAAGUCGAGCGAACGGACGAGAAGCUUGCUUCUCUGAUGUUAGCGGCGGACGGGUGAGUAACACGUGGAUAACCUACCUAUAAGACUGGGAUAACUUCGGGAAACCGGAGCUAAUACCGGAUAAUAUUUUGAACCGCAUGGUUCAAAAGUGAAAGACGGUCUUGCUGUCACUUAUAGAUGGAUCCGCGCUGCAUUAGCUAGUUGGUAAGGUAACGGCUUACCAAGGCAACGAUGCAUAGCCGACCUGAGAGGGUGAUCGGCCACACUGGAACUGAGACACGGUCCAGACUCCUACGGGAGGCAGCAGUAGGGAAUCUUCCGCAAUGGGCGAAAGCCUGACGGAGCAACGCCGCGUGAGUGAUGAAGGUCUUAGGAUCGUAAAACUCUGUUAUUAGGGAAGAACAUAUGUGUAAGUAAAUGUGCACAUCUUGACGGUACCUAAUCAGAAAGCCACGGCUAACUACGUG